GUCGGACGGGAUCUAUGGCUUCGGCUUUAGUGAGAGUGGCGGACGGGUGCGUAACGCGUGAGCAACCUACCCAUGCCAGGGGGACAGCCCGGGGAAACUCGGGUUAAUCCCGCAUGUUGCGUUGGGGUCGCAUGACCUUUACGCUAAACAAUUUCGGGGCAUGGAUGGGCUCGCGUGGCAUUAGCUAGUCGGCGGGGUAACGGCCCACCGAGGCGAUGAUGCCUAGGGGCCCUGAGAGGGGGAUCCCCCACACCGGUACUGAGACACGGACCGGACUCCUACGGGAGGCAGCAGUAGGGAAUAUUGGUCAAUGGGCGGAAGCCUGAACCAGCCAUGCCGCGUGCGGGACGAAGGCCCUACGGGUCGUAAACCGCUUUUCCACGGGAACAGUCCCCGCCACGUGUGGCGGGUCGAGGGUACCGUGGGAAUAAGGAUCGGCUAACUCCGUGCCAGCAGCCGCGGUAAUACGGAGGAUCCGAGCGUUAUCCGGAUUCAUUGGGUUUAAAGGGUGCGCAGGCGGCCUAUUAAGCAGGGGGUGAAAUAUGGCGGCUCAACCGCCUUACUGCCUCCUGAACUGUUGGGCUUGGAUGCCGUUGGGGGCGGCGGAAUGGGGCAAGUAGCGGUGAAAUGCAUAGAUAUGCCCCGGAACACCGAUCGCGGAGGCGGCUGCCCAAACGGUCAUCGACGCUGAUGCACGAAAGCGUGGGGAUCGAACAGGAUUAGAUACCC
RNAcentral lists this ribosomal RNA (729 nucleotides) under uncultured Sphingobacteriales bacterium. Its description in RNAcentral is "bacterial SSU rRNA". It matches the Rfam family "Bacterial small subunit ribosomal RNA", at positions 61 to 787 of the family's 1533-position model. Lineage: Bacteria; Pseudomonadati; Bacteroidota; Sphingobacteriia; Sphingobacteriales. The record is from RNAcentral.